Molecule: unclassified non-coding RNA, 1539 nt
Filed under: Leishmania donovani
Lineage: Eukaryota; Euglenozoa; Kinetoplastea; Trypanosomatida; Trypanosomatidae
Description: gene:LdHU3.35.3395(CDS-product:hypothetical_prote in_conserved)
Source: RNAcentral
CGCAAAUGCGAGCACGGCGCGCAGGCGCCGUGGGGCACAGCCGGCACGGUGUACCACGCCCAGGCACAGCAUCCGGCGGUCAGCGGAGCGCGAGUGAGGGGCGCGAAGCGGCCCAUGCCGAUCACCCCCUCCCCCGACGAGCAUGCCUGCGAAGCAUGCGGCACAGCCCGUCUGCAUCCCGACGGGGCGGGCUGAUGAGGCGCAGACGCCGGAAGCAUGGCGAGAGCACCGCCGAGCCCUGCAGACUCCCACGCGACGAGUCGCCGCGCCAGAUCACGGAAUAGCGCGACUUGCAGCGGCUCUAGGCGCAGGAGCACGGCACGCAGGCCGGGCCUCAGAGGGCCCUGCCCCGAGGCUGGCCCGCCUCCUGCUCGAGCUCGUGCGGCGUGCGCGGUGGCCGCCCCCUGUUACGCGGGCGACAGAGACGCCGUCGCCACUGCCCUGGAGCGCAGGACGCUGCAGGCGACCCUGCUUGGAUCGAGGCAUGCGCCCCAGCGGAGGCCCGUCUGGCGCGCGCCUCGAUUUUGCGGCAGGGCGGUGCGCCCUAGACGACCAGAGUGUAGCCGUGGUGCCGCAGAGGUGGGUGAGCUGUGAUUGUGUGUACGCUUACGUUUGUGGAGUAGUUCCUGGUAGGCUGGACACCUUGAUGAAUAGAAGAAUAGCCGAGGAGGUCAUCCUUUGCAUAUCUAAGCCAAGGGCGGGGCGCGAAGGCAGUGUGCUGCGUCUGAAUCGAUCUGCAGCUUCUUCGUCACGUAUGUGUCCACGCUGCUGUAGCGCUCCUGCACGUGGCCGGUUGCCGUGCUGAGGUAGGCGGAGUCGAUGCCCCAGACGAUGCCGAUAGCAGAGCCGGUAAUCUCCGUGGCGUCGUCUUACCAGUUCGCUUCCGUCGAUCGCUUCAGGCUGACGCUGGUGAGCAUGUAGUGAUGCAGUGUUGUGCUGUGCGGCACGCCAACUAUCUGAAGGAUGAUGGCCGCCAUCAGGUCUGUGGGGUCCUUGCCGGCGGUGCCGUAAAAGAGGAUGGGUUGCUGCCGCCCGUCUGCACGGAAAGGGGUGCUCGUCAGCAACUGGAACACCUGCGCGAGUUGGUGGCUUUAGUUGUCCAUAUGGUCGCGGUACGUGGGGUGGACGAGAUCGCGCAUGCACUCGGGCGUGGCCUCCGUUUCGGGCCCCCACAGGUCCACGCCCAUCGACCCCUCCCGCAAUCGGCUCGAGCACGUGCUCAAUAUUCCGAAGUGAGCACGACUUGUGAAAAACCUCGUCUCAAAUGCGGAAAUCAAAGGCGUGAGUGAGGUGCCGCCGGUCUGCGAGCACCUACUGUGCGGCAACUUUGUGGUAAGGUGUGCAGGUUGUCGCUGCGGAGCCCUUACCCUUCGGAAAUGCGACGCCCGCAUGUGGUCGCGUAGCCGCCGAGAUCGCGGAGGUUCGUGAGGCCGGGCAGGUUUUUAGAGCGUGUUUCGUGUGUGUACGUACGAAGAGGCAGAUGCUAUGGUCGAUCCCGCACAACAAUGGAGGACGCGAUGACGGCGAAUGAGGUGGACU